RNAcentral lists this ribosomal RNA (253 nucleotides) under uncultured bacterium. RNAcentral describes it as "partial 16S ribosomal RNA". It matches the Rfam family "Bacterial small subunit ribosomal RNA", at positions 524 to 776 of the family's 1533-position model. The record is from RNAcentral.
UACGGGGGGGGCAAGCGUUGUUCGGAAUUACUGGGCGUAAAGGGCUUGUAGGUGGCCAACUAAGUCAGACGUGAAAUCCCUCGGCUUAACCGGGGAACUGCGUCUGAUACUGGAUGGCUGGAGUGUGGGAGAGGGAUGCGGAAUUCCAGGUGUAGCGGUGAAAUGCGUUGAUAUCGAUAGGAACGCCGGUGGCGAAGGCGGCAUACUGGAUCACUUCUGACGCUGAGGCGCGAAAGCCAGGGGAGCAAACGGG